This 139-nucleotide ribosomal RNA is filed under the name uncultured eukaryote. Its description in RNAcentral is "partial 18S ribosomal RNA". It matches the Rfam family "Eukaryotic small subunit ribosomal RNA", at positions 1299 to 1458 of the family's 1831-position model. The record is from RNAcentral.
UCGUGGAUUGAUUUGUCUGGUUAAUUCCGAUAACGAACGAGACCUUUCCUACUCGUUACUUUGCAUGCACUUUUGUGCAUGUUAAAAGUUCUUAGCGGGACAGCUGGCGUUUAGCCAGAGGAAGUUCGAGGCAAUAACA